This 89-nucleotide transfer RNA is filed under the name Candidatus Altimarinota bacterium. Its description in RNAcentral is "tRNA-Leu". It matches the Rfam family "tRNA". From Rfam's summary of the family: Transfer RNA (tRNA) molecules are approximately 80 nucleotides in length. Their secondary structure includes four short double-helical elements and three loops (D, anti-codon, and T loops). Lineage: Bacteria; Candidatus Altimarinota. The record is from RNAcentral.
GGGCAAGUGGCGGAAUUGGCAGACGCGCUAGCUUGAGGGGCUAGUGAAAAUUUUUUUUCGUGGAGGUUCAAGUCCUCUCUUGCUCACCA